RNA transcript from Zalophus californianus (California sea lion), 6273 nucleotides. It is a transcript of the gene named VPS35 endosomal protein sorting factor like, with no coding region annotated. NCBI's taxonomy places the organism in Eukaryota, Metazoa, Chordata, Mammalia, Carnivora, Otariidae. The record is from RefSeq and is a predicted model, not a curated record. The transcript is spliced from 30 exons.
AUGGCGGCCAGAGCGGGGCGGGGCGAGGCGGUCCCUGGGAGGGAGAAAAGGGCUGGCUGCCCCAGUACAAGUGCUCAUGUGACUGGGAAGAUGGCCGUCUUUCCCUGGCAUUCCAGGAGCAGGAACUACAAGGCUGAGUUUGCAUCAUGCCGGCUCGAGGCUGUGCCAUUGGAGUUUGGGGACUAUCACCCGCUGAAGCCCAUAACGGUCACGGAGUCGAAGACCAAGAAAGUGAGCCGGAAAGGUAGCACUUCUUCCACGUCCUCCUCGUCCUCCAGCUCCGUGCUAGACCCGCUGAGCAGCGUGCUGGACGGGACCGACCCCCUCUCCAUGUUCGCGGCCACGGUGGACCCCGCAGCCACGGACAGCUCUAGAAAGAGACGAGACAGAGACGAGAACUCCAUCGUAGGAUCCGACUUCGAGCCCUGGGCCAACAAACGAGGAGAAAUCCUUGCCCGGUACACCACCACAGAAAAGCUCUCCAUCAAUCUGUUUAUGGGAUCUGAAAAAGGCAAAGCGGGGACUGCCACAUCCGCCAUGUCGGAGAAGGUUCGGACCAGGCUAGAGGAGCUGGAUGACUUUGAAGAGGGAUCCCAAAAGGAACUGUUGAAUUUGACUCAACAGGAUUAUGUGAACCGCAUUGAGGAGCUCAACCAGUCGCUGAAGGACGCCUGGGCCUCGGACCAGAAAGUGAAGGCUCUAAAAAUAGUCAUCCAGUGUUCAAAGCUUCUUUCAGACACAGGCGUUAUUCAGUUCUACCCAAGCAAAUUUGUCCUUAUCACCGACAUACUUGAUACAUUUGGAAAGCUCGUGUAUGAACGCAUCUUCUCCAUGUGUGUGGAUAACCGCAGCGUCUUACCAGAUCACUUCUCUCCAGAGAAUGUAAAUGACACGGCCAAAGAAACAUGCUUAAAUUGGUUUUUCAAGAUUGCUUCCAUCAGGGAACUCAUUCCAAGAUUUUAUGUGGAAGCAUCCAUCCUGAAGUGUAACAAGUUCCUCUCCAAAACGGGGAUUUCAGAAUGUCUGCCCCGGCUGACGUGCAUGAUUCGCGGGAUCGGAGACCCGCUCGUGUCCGUGUACGCCAGGGCCUAUCUGUGCCGGGUGGGAAUGGAAGUGGCUCCACAUCUCAAAGAAAGCCUGAAUAAGAACUUUUUUGACUUCCUCCUCACAUUCAAACAGAUUCAUGGGGAUACGGUUCAGAACCAGCUGGUGGUCCAGGGAGUGGAGCUGUUGUCCUACCUGCCCUUGUACUCGCCUGCUAUGGACUGGAUCUUCCAGUGCAUCUCCUACCAUGCCCCCGAGACUCUGCUAACUGAGAUGAUGGAUAGAUGCAAGAAACUAGGAAACAACGCCUUGCUGUUGAAUUCUGUGAUGUCAGCUUUCCGGGCCGAGUUCAUCGCCACGAGGUCCAUGGAUUUCAUUGGCAUGAUUAAAGAGUGUGAUGAGUCAGGUUUCCCUAAGCAUCUCCUUUUUCGCUCAUUGGGGUUAAACUUGGCCUUGGCUGACCCUCCUGAGGGCGAUCGACUCCAGAUUCUCAAUGAAGCUUGGAAAGUCAUCACUAAGUUGAAGAAUCCACAGGACUACAUUAACUGUGCCGAAGUGUGGGUGGAGUACACUUGCAAGCAUUUCACGAAACGAGAGGUGAAUACUGUUCUGGCUGAUGUCAUCAAGCACAUGACUCCAGAUCGUGCAUUUGAAGACUCCUACCCUCAGCUUCAUUCAAUAAUUAAGAAAGUGAUUGCCCACUUCCACGAUUUCUCCGUUCUUUUCUCAGUGGAAAAAUUUUUGCCGUUUCUGGACAUGUUUCAGAAAGAGAGUGUGCGGGUGGAGGUUUGCAAGUGCAUCAUGGAAGUUUUUAUCAAGCAUCAGCAAGAGCCCACAAAGGACCCUGUGAUUCUGAAUGCCCUUUUGCACGUGUGCAAGACCAUGCAUGACUCUGUAAAUGCACUCACUCUUGAGGAUGAGAAAAGAAUGCUGGCAUAUUUGAUUAAUGGAUUUAUAAAAAUGGUUUCCUUUGGCCGUGAUUUUGAACAACAGCUCAGUUUUUAUGUUGAGGCUAGGUCCAUGUUUUGCAACCUGGAACCUGUUCUUGUGCAGUUGAUUCACAGUGUAAACCGGUUGGCAAUGGAAACAAGGAAAGUAAUGAAAGGAAAUCAUUCCAGAAAGACAGCUGCCUUUGUCCGGGCCUGUGUUGCAUACUGCUUCAUCACCAUUCCCUCCUUGGUGGGCAUCUUCACGCGCCUCAAUCUCUACCUGCAUUCUGGUCAGGUUGCCUUGGCCAACCAGUGCCUCUCCCAAGGAUCAUCCCGAACAUGGGGUCCUGUUUCUUGUUCGAGAGCUUCUCAACGUGAUCCAGGACUACACCUGGGAGGACAGCAGUGACGAUAAAAUCCGCAUCUACACCUGCGUCCUGCACCUGCUCUCCGCCAUGAGCCAGGAGACCUACCUCUACCACAUAGACAAAGUUGACUCCAACGACAGCCUGUAUGGGGGAGACUCCAAGUUUCUGGCAGAAAACAACAAGCUCUGUGAGACGGUGAUGGCUCAGAUCCUGGAGCACCUGAAAACCUUGGCCAAGGAUGAGGCUUUGAAGCGCCAAAGCUCCCUGGGCCUUUCCUUCUUUAAUAGUAUCUUGGCACAUGGAGACCUGCGCAACAAUAGACUCAACCAGCUCUCUGUCAACCUGUGGCACUUGGCACAGAGACACGGCUGUGCAGAUACCAGGACCAUGGUGAAAACUCUGGAAUACAUCAAAAAGCGAAGCAAACAACCAGAUAUGGGUCAUCUGACUGAACUGGCCCUCAGGCUCCCUCUGCAAACAAGGACCUGACUAGGGCUGUGAAGUCAAGUCCAGAAAGACCUGCUUUGCUUUUUUUAUUUUUACAUAUACAAGUGGUUUCAGCUUUGGCCUCUACCCAGAUUAUUGUGACAGUGAAGAAGUAGGAAUUGUUCAGAGCAUUAAAAUCCAAUCUUGUUCACAAGAAUAGCAGUGUCUUUGCGCAAGUGGCCUUCAGAUCAACCUUUAUUGAGAAACAGAAGAACACAAGUAACAUCUGUCACGUGUGUUUUUUAACUAGAAAAACCCUGAAAAGGGGUCUAGUUUUAAAGAGCCACUGUUACCUAAUUUGAGGGCCUCAAGUCUGGAAUUGAAAGUUGCCUAAACCACCACAGAAGAUUGAUAAAAGGUAGAUGAUGCAAUUAACUUUUCUAUCAAAAGGCAGCUCUGGAUAGGACUUCAGAAUAUACUGGUUUAUACCUAGCUCUCAGUGGCAACACAGAAGAUGCGAGUGCAGCAGCUCACGCAUACGUGGGCACAGCAGGGCAUGCAUGAGCACCACCAGCAGGCACCCCCACUGCACCCACUGGAACUCCUGGGAGGAUGGCACAGUAAGGUUGUGAACUCACCUUUCCCACGGACACACUAAUGAUGCAGCUACACAACAUGCAACUCACUCAGUUCCAAAGACUUAGCAGAACAGCUCUUAACACAGCUAAAGACAAAAAGCUACACUGAGAAGGGUAGGAGGGGCAGAGAUAAGGUCAAGAACCACAUCCUGGGCACAGUGACUCAUAAAGUGGGAGGGAUAUCACUCAUAAGUGGCAAGAGUCAAGCCUCUCAUAGGGUGGGGUCUGCAGCACCAGGAAGAUGAGCUCCCAUAAUGUUGAGCUGUGGAAAUCUGUGGGGCUUAACUCUGGGAGAGCCAAAGGCUAUAGAAAACUGAGGGUCUACUCUUAAUCACUCUGAGACCCGAGGUAGCAGUUUGAAAAGUACUGGGUUACACAUGAAGGACAUUUACUAAUUUUAGGGCAUGUGCUGGGAGGGGCAACAAUCUGUAGGAAUUUUCUCUGGGAAUGGAAGAGUUUGCAGGUCACUUUCUACUUUGCUAGCACCACUGGCACUGACCAGGCAUUAAUCUUUGGACUCACCUUCCCAACAGGCACAGCUUGCGCCUACCACAAUGCUCAGAGCAAUUGUGGCCAAAUCUCACUGCUACCCACCAGUGCGUACACAGCCCAUACAGGGGACGUGCCUGGAGUACCUGGUUCUGGUGGCCAGGGGAGACAGCACUAUUGGCCCCCACAGGAUGCCUCCUACAGAAGGCCACUACCUUAAAGACCAGAUGUAGCUGACCUACUAAAUACAGAGUAGACAAAAUGGAGUAAGUUCCAAACAAAAGAACCAAAACAAAACCUCAAAAAUGAACCAGAGAUGCCCUUCCUGAUAAAAGAGUUCAAAGUAUCAGCCAUAAAGAUGCUAGCUGGACUUGAAUUCAGUGAGAACUUUAAUAAAGAGAUAGAAAAUAUAAAAAAGAUUGAGCUGAAUACAAUAACAAAUGAAAAAUACCCUCUAGUGUAUCAAUAUCAUAGAAGGUGCAGAAAAAUGAAUCAGCAAUCUGGAACACAAGGUAUUAGAAAUCAAGCUGAACAUUUGCAUUACAAACAUCCCAGGAGAGAAGAAAAAAUGGACACAAAACUUACCAUAUAAUAACUGAUAACUUCUAUAACCUAGAGAAGAAAAUGGACAUCUAGCACCAGGAAGAACAGAAAGCCCCAAACAAGAUGAAUCCAAAGAGGUCCAUACCAAGACACAUGAUACAGUUGGCUCUUUUAACAACACAAGUCCACUUACAUGUAGAUAUUUUUUCUAUGCAGUACAGAACUAUAUUCUCUCUUCUGAUUUAAUUUUUUCUCUAGCUUUAAAAAUACAGUAUAUAACAGAAAAUGUGUGUCCAUCAGCUGUUUAAGGCUUCUGGUCAACAGUAGGCUAUUAGUAAACUUGGGGGGAGUCAAGAGUUAUAUGUGGAUUUUCAACUGCACAGGGGAUUGGUGCCCCUAACCCCUGCAUUGUUAGGGGUCAACUGUAGUUACAAUGUCAAUAAUUAAUGAAAACCUUAAAAGCAACAGGAGAAAAGCAACUAAUAACAUACAAAGGAAACCCCCACGAGGCUAUCAACUGCUUUUUCAGCAAAAACUGUGUGCCAGAAAGGAAUGGUGUGAUCUAUUCCAAGUGCUGAAAAGAAAAAACCUACAGCCAAGAAUACCCGUCAAGAUUAUCAUUCAGAAUUGCAGGAGAAAUAAGUUUCCCAAACAAAAGUUAGAGUUCAUCACCACUAACCCAGCCUUACAAGAAAUGUUAAGGGGACUUCUUUAAGUGUAAAAGGACAUAACUAGAAGAAAAUUAUGAAAGAAAAAAUUUCACUGGUAAAAACAUACAGUAAAGGUAGUAGAUCAAUUAUUUAUAAUAGUACGAAGGUUAAAAGACAAAAGUAGUAUCAAUUUUAUCUACCAUAAUUAGUUAAUGGGUACACAAAAUAAAAAGAUGUAAAGUAUGACACCAAAUACAUAAAAUGUGGGAGGGCAGUAAAAAUGUAGUGCUUUUAGAAUAUGUUCAAACUGAAGUGACCAUUAAAAUAGACUGCUAAAUACAUUGUUAUAUAUGAACCUCAUGGUAGCCUAAAACCUGUAAUAGACACAAAAUGUGAAGGAAUCUAAGCAUAAAACUAAAAGUCAUCAAACGAAAGCAGGAGAAAAGAACAGAAACAACCAGAAAGCAAAUAAAAUGGAAGUACAGCUGACCCCUGAACAGCAUAGGGUUGAACUGUACAUGGAUUUUUUUUUAUAAAAAAAUGUAUUUCUUAUGAUUUUCUUACUUUAAGAAUACUAGUACAUCUAACAUACAAAAUAUGUGUUAAUCAACUAUUUAUGUUACCAAGCAAGGCUCCUGGUCAACAGAAGGCUAUUAAUAGUUAAAUUUUGGGGCACUCACAAGUUUUAUGUGGAUUUUCAACUGCAUGGAUAUAGUCAGUAUCCCUAACCACCACCUUAUUCAAGGGCAAAUGUAUUUAUCAAUAAUUACUUUAAAUGUAAACAGACUAAAUGCUCCAAUCAAAAGACAUAGAGUAACUGAAUGAUUAAAAAAAAAAAAGACAUCCAUAUGAAGACUCACUUCAGACCACAAGAUCUAGCAAUCAAAAGAAAAAAAUUCGAAAAACCACAAACACAUAGACACUGAACAACAUGGUACUGAACAACCAAUGGGUCAAUGAAGAAACCAAAAAGGAAAUUAAAAAAUACCUUGACACAAAUAAUAAUGGAAAUACAAUGUUCCAAAAUCUUUGGAACACAGAAAAAACAGUUCUAAGAUAGAAAUUUAUAGCGAUACAGAUCUACCUCAAGAAACAAGAAAAAUAACACAAUCUAACCUUACAACUAAAGGAACUAGAAAAAGAACAAACAAACCCAAAGUUAGUAGAAGGAAUGAAAUAAUGAAGA